Dermacentor albipictus is the source of this 2294-nucleotide RNA transcript. RefSeq lists it as uncharacterized. Lineage: Eukaryota; Metazoa; Arthropoda; Arachnida; Ixodida; Ixodidae. The record is from RefSeq and is a predicted model, not a curated record.
CCGUCGAGGUCGUGCACGCCUGAGAGCUUCCCGAGUUUUCUGCGUUCUUUGUGUGCUUCGCUGUGAUAUCUUUGGAGUAUUCCUGCGUGUUGCUCGCUUUUUAUGGGCUUGUUGCCUCGAAGAUCGCCAUGAUCGCCUCCGACUCGGCCGCAUCAAGGAUUCAAAAUGAGCUGGGAGAUGCCCCGGCUGGAACGCUAAAGGUUCACAUAGGUUGUAGGAGUGUACAUUGAGAAGGUUAUCCUUGCACAGCUUACCAUGGCCUGCCAUGGUGGACCAGGAAAGUUUGCAAGGGCCUUGCUUCACCAUGUGUUCACAGAGGAGGAGCUCAGGAGCUCACACCAAGGGGCAAAAGAGGCUCUUGACCCCACCAGGGUCAGUACUGUUAUAGGCUUCACGUGUCGCAAAUUUCCUGGUACCAACAUGCCCUAUGUAAAGAACUCUGGCCUCGCUUCUGGCAUGGGACCAAUAGCCUCUGAAGAGCCCAAGUUGGACAGCUCAAACCAAAACACAAGUGUUGUGCUUUUGUAACUCUCGUCAUUUUUAUGUUUUAUGUUAGUCUUCUGAAGGGCACAAUUUGGAUUUCUCAAAUGAGCAUACAAAUGUUGUGCCUUUCUAUAUGCCUUGACAUUUUUAUGUUAAUUUUAUUUAUGUUAAUUAUGCUAGUCUCCUGAGAAGCCCACAUUGAAUUGCUCAAUCCAGAAUACAAGUGCUGUGCUUUGUUAUAGUUCACUACAUUUUUAUGUUGGUUUUUGAUAUGGUUCCAGUAAGGAUAGUGUUUCCUUAUUAAUAUAUUGUUUAAGUAUCUUAAGUCAUUUCAUGCCAAACCACCCAAUUUUGUCAACUGUUCCAUUAUGGCCAACCGUUUCAAGUUUGCAUGAUUUUGAGUAGAUACAAUAAGAAAAUUUGCUUUCAUACAUACACUUGAGUAAUUCCAGGGCAACCAACCAGCGUUUUUUUUACCAUCACAGAUAUAGUUGAAGCUCCGAACUCUUGCUCCCCAUUUAUUUUCCUUCGCAAACAUUUUUUUGAAUUUUGGCAAAAAUUUAUUGUUCUUGCCCAGCUAAGCUAGAAGGCACUGAUACACGUUUCUUUGGAAAGGGAAAUGGUAUGAUCCAGAUAUUCAGAUGGUGUUCAUGUCAAGAGACUGAAGUGGUGUGACUGCCAAAAUUUGCAAAGUUUGAAUUUUCUUCUAAUGUAGGGAAAUGCAGAAGGAACAAAAGAAAUAUAAAGUCAGACGAGUUGACUUGGGAUAGCAGCAAAAUAUUUCAAGCCUUGGAGGUUUAGUUGAUCAGCUAAAAAAACUGUAAAGUUCAAAUUUUUUUGCAGAAAGCUUCAUGUUGAAGGUAAACAAGUUAGCUUUGGUGGUUGGCACAAAAGUAUAUGUCGCCCAUCAUUACACAGCCCUACAUGUCUGCUAUGCAUGUGGAAAGUAACAAAAAGGUAUUAUUCUUUAAGUGCGAUAAAUAAUUUUUUAUAAUGUUCAUUUGUGGAUCACACAUACAGCAUAAAUAUAUUAAGCCAUGUCAUCUAGCAAGGAAAGAUUGUUAAUAUAAUUAGCCACAAAAACUACUCAACAAACUGACAGGUGACGUCAAGUGCUGCAACUGCAGUCUCAACUCGUAUUUUUUUAACAUGAACGCAAAAAAUGGUCGCCAAUGGUGUCUGACCACAUCAGACUGAACAUGGCACACAUAUGACUUUUAUAGAUGAGCAUGUUCCGGCUCUGAAACAGUGGUAGCAAACAACACCACAAGAAUUUGUUCAUACUCAUGUAGGUUUUCAGUCUUAAUUAUGAAGGUGUUUUCUACUUGGAUCAUCAUUGGGCUCCAGGGAGCAGGGCACUAAGUGUCCUGCUCCCUCUAUGUUGCAUAGCAAUGUGACAUGCCCUUUAAAAUGCUUUGUAUGAACAAUACCAGUGCUCUUUAUGGAUUUGCUGUCCACAUAAUAGCUGAUAUUGCUUUUUGUAAACAGCAUGAAACAUAUCUUUUAGCACUGCAGGAUUCCCUCACAUAUUUAAUACGUACAAGGUCUGUUAGAACAGUAUUUGACCUUUUUUGCGAACACCUGAUGAAUAUGAAACAAGCGCAUUUUCAUCAGCUGCCCUUGAACCUUUGUACGCAUGCACGAAUUUUUUCCCGCCUGCCAAUAGCAAGAAUUGCUGGGACGCAGCGUUUGAAUGACGUAGUACACAGUGCUCUCGGUUUUUUAUUGCAAGGAAAAUGCCGGAGUGACUGGAGCAGUGCUACUGCAUCAAAUUUUGCGAGAAAAUGGGCGACAGCCAAGUGGAAACCAUU